UGGGAUGGUACGGAACAAAUCCUUCAAUUCAUUGUUUUGAGAUCAAAAGUGGAUUGAUCGGAGUCAUAUGAGGUGGGAGGUCGUGUGUUCGAAGUCUAGGUAUCACAUGCCCAUGUAUUUCGCUCGAAAAAUGUGUGACUUAUGACAUGCGACAUGCAACCAUGAGGGUAGUACCUCUGUGUGGCCUCCAAGCCUAAAAGAAUUUUUUUUCUUUCCUAUCCAUGCCAGUGUGAUAUCCUGCAGACAGGCAUAAUGUGUUAUUUGUGGCAGCUUUGAUGCUGGCUUGAAU
RNAcentral lists this long non-coding RNA (289 nucleotides) under Setaria viridis. RNAcentral describes it as "long non-coding RNA (SVIR_LNC002026)". Lineage: Eukaryota; Viridiplantae; Streptophyta; Magnoliopsida; Poales; Poaceae. The record is from RNAcentral.